GGCCCCGCACAAGCGGUGGAGUAUGUGGUUUAAUUCGAUGCAACGCGAAGAACCUUACCAGGAUUUGACAUCCUGCGAAUCUCUUGGAAACGAGAGAGUGCCUUCGGGAACGCAGUGACAGGUGGUGCAUGGCUGUCGUCAGCUCGUGUCGUGAGAUGUUGGGUUAAGUCCCGCAACGAGCGCAACCCACGUCUUUAGUUGCCAGCAUUUAGUUGGGGCACUCUAGAGAGACUGCCGGUGAUAAACCGGAGGAAGGUGUGGAUGACGUCAAGUCAUCAUGCCCCUUACAUUCUGGGCUACACACGUACUACAAUGCUACGGACAAAGGGCAGCAAGUUCGCGAGGACAAGCA
RNAcentral lists this ribosomal RNA (352 nucleotides) under uncultured bacterium. Its description in RNAcentral is "bacterial SSU rRNA". It matches the Rfam family "Bacterial small subunit ribosomal RNA", at positions 917 to 1269 of the family's 1533-position model. The record is from RNAcentral.